ACAGUCUUUCUUGAGAAGCACUUUAUACAAGUUACCCUUUUGCCAUUCAUGAAUCUUCAGAAAUGUAUGCUGAUUGCCUGACACUGAAGUGAUAGAAGGCCUGCAUUAGAUCAGCUUCAACUGAGUGCAGUAUGCUGCCCUGGCAGGGUGACUGCUCAAUGAGGAGCUGGUGGAAGCACACGACUUCCAGGCACCUGGCCCUUCUCCAAGGCUGUGUUCCCUCACCAGCCACUGGAACAAAGCUCCUAAUAUCCUCAGAAAUUAAUUCUCUUCUCACAGUGUCCAAGUUACCAAUAAAGGAAAGAAAGAAA
Long non-coding RNA from Oxyura jamaicensis (ruddy duck), 311 nucleotides. RefSeq lists it as uncharacterized. NCBI's taxonomy places the organism in Eukaryota, Metazoa, Chordata, Aves, Anseriformes, Anatidae. The record is from RefSeq and is a predicted model, not a curated record. The transcript has 2 exons.